UACGGAGGGGGCAAGCGUUGUUCGGAAUUACUGGGCGUAAAGGGCGCGUAGGCGGCCGCCUAAGUCAGACGUGAAAUCCCUCGGCUCAACCGGGGAACUGCGUCUGAUACUGGGUGGCUUGAAUCCGGGAGAGGGAUGCGGAAUUCCAGGUGUAGCGGUGAAAUGCGUAGAUAUCUGGAGGAACACCGGUGGCGAAGGCGGCAUCCUGGACCGGCAUUGACGCUGAGGCGCGAAAGCCAGGGGAGCAAACGGG
This 253-nucleotide ribosomal RNA is filed under the name uncultured bacterium. Its description in RNAcentral is "partial 16S ribosomal RNA". It matches the Rfam family "Bacterial small subunit ribosomal RNA", at positions 524 to 776 of the family's 1533-position model. The record is from RNAcentral.